GUAUAUAUAUAUAAAUACGACAGUACAUAUUCUAAAAUUGGAAUGAUACAGAGAAGGUUAGCUGCUCAAGGUUGACACGCAAAUUCGUGAAGCGUUCGAACAUGUU
Molecule: small nuclear RNA, 106 nt
Organism: Octopus sinensis (East Asian common octopus)
Lineage: Eukaryota; Metazoa; Mollusca; Cephalopoda; Octopoda; Octopodidae
Source: RefSeq, a predicted model, not a curated record